This 1209-nucleotide long non-coding RNA is filed under the name Nicotiana benthamiana. RNAcentral's name for it is "long non-coding RNA (NBEN_LNC004454)". Lineage: Eukaryota; Viridiplantae; Streptophyta; Magnoliopsida; Solanales; Solanaceae. The record is from RNAcentral.
UGACUUGUAAACAGGAGUUGGUGGGGGUGGAGACUUAUAAAUUGGUGCAGGAUGGUAUGGUGUUGGUGAUGGAUGAUAUGGCUUCACUGGUGGUGGUGGUGACUUGUAAACUGGAGUUGGUGGUGGUGGAGAUUUGUAAACUGGUGCAGGAUGAUACAGUGUUGUGAAGGAUGGUAUGGCUUCUUUGGUGGUGGUGGUGACUUGUAUACUGGAGUUGGUGGCGGUGGCGACUUAUAGACUGGGGUGUGUGGAGGGUAGUAUGGCUUCUUGGGUGGUGGUGGUGACUUGUAAACGGGAGUUGGUGGUGGUGGAGACUUAUAAACCGGGGUGUGUGGAGGAUAGUGUGGCUUCUUGGGUGGUGGUGGUGACUUGUAUACUGGAGUUGGUGGUGGUGGAGACUUAUAAACCGGGGUGUGUGGAGGGUAGUAUGGCUUCUUUGGUGGUGGUGGCGACUUGUAAACUGGGGUCGGUGGUGGUGGAGAUUUGUAAACAGGGGUGUGUGGAGGGGUGACUUGUAAACUGGAGUUGGUGGUGGUGGCGACUUAUAAACAGGGGUGUGUGGAGGGUAGUAUGGCUUCUUGGGUGGUGGUGGUGACUUGUAAACGAGAGAUGGUGGUGGUGGAGACUUAUAAACCGGGGUGUGUGGAGGAUAGUGUGGCUUCUUGGGUGGUGGUGGUGACUUGUAUACUGGAGUUGGUGGUGGUGGAGACUUAUAAACCGGGGUGUGUGGAGGGUAGUAUGGCUUCUUUGGUGGUGGUGGCGACUUGUAAACUGGGGUCGGUGGUGGUGGAGAUUUGUAAACAGGGGUGUGUGACGACUUGUAAACGGGAGUUGGUGGUGGUGGAGACUUAUAAACCGGGGUGUGUGGAGGGUAGUGCGGCUUCUUGGGUGGUGGUGGUGACUUGUAUACUGGAGUUGGUGGUGGUGGAGACUUAUAAACCGGGGUGUGUGGAGGGUAGUAUGGCUUCUUUGGUGGUGGUGGCGACUUGUAAACUGGGGUCGGUGGUGGUGGAGAUUUGUAAACAGGGGUGUGUGGAGGGUAGUAUGGCUUCUUGGGUGGUGGUGGCGACUUGUAAACUGGGGUGUGUGGAGGAUAGUAUGGUUUCUUAGGUGGUGGUGGUGACUUGUAAACCGGAGUUGGUGGUGGUGGAGAUUUAUAAACAGGUGCAGAAUGAUAUGGUGUUGGUGAAGGAUGGUAUGGCUUCUUAG